CACGUAGGGGGCAAGCGUUGUCCGGAUUUAUUGGGCGUAAAGAGCUCGUAGGUGGUUCGGUAAGUCGGGUGUUAAACCCCCAGGCUCAACCUGGGGACGCCACUCGAUACUGCUGUGACUAGAGUCCGGUAGGGGAGCGUGAAAUUCCUGGUGUAGCGGUGAAAUGCGCAGAUAUCAGGAGGAACACCGAUGGCGAAGGCAGGUCUCUGGGCCGAUACUGACGCUGAGGAGCGAAAGCGUGGGGAGCGAACAGG
Molecule: ribosomal RNA, 254 nt
Filed under: uncultured bacterium
Lineage: Bacteria
Description: partial 16S ribosomal RNA
Rfam family: Bacterial small subunit ribosomal RNA
Source: RNAcentral